Molecule: long non-coding RNA, 543 nt
Organism: Zophobas morio
Lineage: Eukaryota; Metazoa; Arthropoda; Insecta; Coleoptera; Tenebrionidae
Exons: 3
Source: RefSeq, a predicted model, not a curated record
AAAAGGUAUUGCACACACCAAUAACUUUGUAUUUUCAUUUUAUAAAAGCACCUGCCCGCACACAUGAAGCAUAAUUUUCUUAUAUUUGCCUUCGCGCUUUUAUUACUGUAUUUAUCGUUAGAAGGAGGAGUUGGUGUUGAUCGUAAAUAUGUAAAAGUCUGUCAGCAUUACAGCGAUGGAGAGUCCGUAAAAAUACCAAAUGGUCAAGACUGUACUUCAUUCUACAUAUGCAAAAAACAUGUGCCAAUUUUAACUCCUUGCCUAUCUGAAACCAUAUUGAAUUAUCAAGGUUCCAAACGGACUAAAUGUAUACCAUCAGAAGAUCCUAACAAAUGUCCACAAAAAGAUGACCCAUCGUUUUUGGAUAAUGCGCUCAAAGAACUUUCCUCACGCAAUAAAAAAUCAUAAUUAUGCAUAAAGACAUGUGUUUAGCCAUAAUUCCAAAUUGUAAAAUAUGUACCUUGAGCACUAGGCUCUCGCUGAAUACACCACAGCAUUAUUCUGGAGUGAAAAUAAUUUCAAAAUUAAACGUAUCUGAACUUU